CCCUCUGAGCGCGUUGAAAGGUUUGUAGGCGGAAAUAGCUGAAGCAAAAACCGGCCCCGCCGCCUCCCUUUGUAGAGACCUCUGCCGCCGACGCCAAGCGGCUAGCCGGCAAACCUGCUUCUCAUCCCUCCAUCCCCCAAUGCCGCCGGCGAACCUCACCCCGAUCAAAUGGCCCAAGAACCUCACCGCCGAACACCUCCACCGCCUUGUCCGCGCCGAGCGUGACCCCCGCCGCGCGCUCGCCCUCUUCGACGCGGCCACCGCCGCGCCCGUCUCCACUUCCGCGCCCACACAAAUCCUCCCCUCCCCGGACACCGUCUCCCUCCUCACCUCCCGCCUCGCCUCCGCCGGCCUCCUCCCCCUCGCCACCUCCCUCCUCUCCCGCUCGCGCGCGCUCUUCCCCUCCAACGCCGACCUCGAGCCCCCCUUCCUCACCCUUCUCCGCGCCUUCUCCCGCACCCGCCGCCCCCUCGACGCCCUCCAACUCUUCCGCUCCGCCCCCUCCGCCCUCUCUCUCCCCCACUCCGCCCGCUCCUACACCGCCGUCCUUGCCGGCCUCGUCGCGCACUCCCAUCUCCCCCUCGCCCACUCCCUCCUCGCCGACAUGCGCGCCGCCGGCUUCGGCCCCACCAUCGCCACCUACAACGUCCUCCUCAAGGCCCACUGCUCUGAUGCCGACGCUCCUAUCGACGACGCGGUCCGCCUUUUCCGCAACAUCCCCAAACCUGACGCCUGCUCCUACAACACCCUCAUCGACGGGCUCUGCCGCCGCAGCCGCAGGGCCGAGGCCCAGGAGCUGUUUUCCGAGAUGGUAGAAAAUGGCGUUGCGCCUACAGUGGUUACUUACACGACUAUCAUCAAUUGGCUCGCACGGGAGGGCUGCUUGGAUGAUGCACUGGAGAUGUUUGACGAAAUGGGGAGGAGAGGUAUUGCACCUAAUGUUGUCACCUAUUGUUCUCUGAUUGAUGGUUUGUCCAAGGGUGGGCGUGCAGCAUCAGCACUGGACUUGCUGGAGAGGUUGGCCAAGGAGGUGAAGCCGCCAAAUACAAUCAUAUAUAGUUCUGUCAUUAAUGGCCUCUGUAAGGAGGGCCUGCUGAGGGAGGCAAUGGAGGUUUUGGACCGGAUGCGUCUCCAGGGGAGGAAGCCUGAUGCUGGAUUGUUUGGGAAGCUCAUUGUUGGGCUGUGUGAUGCAGGAAGGGCUGUGGAGGCUGCAAAUUACCUGGAUGAGAUGGUUCUUGCUGGCGUUCAACCGAACCGGGUGACUUGGAGCCUUCAUGUCAGGAUAAACGUUGCAGUGGUGACAGCAUUAUGUGUUAAGGGUGAAGUUGGGAGGGCUUUCCAGGUGUACCAGAGCAUGAGGACUCGUGGCAUUUCUACCGAGCCAAGCACCUUCCAUCUCCUGGUUGAGUUCUUCUGCAAAAAGAACCAUUUGGAGAAAGCAGCUCGUGUUGUGCUUGACAUGUUGUCAGAGAGGUGCAUCCCUGAGAGGGAAACAUGGGAUGUUAUUGUCAGUGGGUAUUGGAGUAAGAAGAAAGUCAGACAAGAAGCUGAGCAAAUAUGGGACCAAUUAGCAGUUAUCUGAUUGAAAAUAAAAACAAAUGUGGUGCUACACUGUGCUGGUCGGACCCUUCCCCGGACUCUGCACAAGCGGGAGCUACAUGCACCAGGCUGUCCCCCUGCUAGACUGUGCUGGUACAUGAUCUGCCUAAGACUUAUCAAGCAAAAAUUGUGAACCGACACACUCGUUCCAUCAUGCGGUUGCACAAGUGAGAGAGAGUUCUGCCACCAAAACCCUUAAACUCCAGUGCUUCCAUGUCCAGGAUAUGCGAAGUACUAAUAUUUAUUGUAUGAAUAAUUUUUGAAGUGACAAGCAUGCGGGCACUGUUCAGGUUAUUGCACGACGACUUAAAAGCUGUGUGGUAUGACUUCAAGAAUGCAGUCUGAUAUGAUUUUUAAAGUCUUCUUUUCUAGACAUGUUAAUUUUGGAAAAACUAGCAAAUUACAAUACAAAACUUAACUACAUAUAUGUAUGAAGAUUCAAGGCAAAAACAAGCUAUCAACUCCUGGUAUAUUGCUUCUUUCACAAUUAAUGAAGACUUUUUUCCGUGCCUGCCUAGUGUUUGAUUCCAUCCAUGUAUCGACUUUCCCUCCUAUGCUCUGAGUUCGAGUAUCAAUAAGAAUUCGAGUUCAUAUUGUUCCUAUGUUAUGGUAUGAAUAUACAUGAUGGAUGAGAUUCCGUGGAUAGAGAGCCAAUUCCAGUAGACUUAUGGAACGUUCCUGUUCACGUGCAUCCAGUAGGAAUUGAACCCUCAAAUUUACCAAUUAUGAGUUCGGCGCUUUAACCAUUCAACCAGAAGUCUUAGUUGUAUCAUAUGAAAGAUUUAAAAAAUUGUGGUAUGUGCCAAAGACGUAUCCAAUAUAUUGUCCUCCCAGGUGCCAGCACUGUUCAUUUAUGAAUACACAAAACAUGUUCAUGUCGAAGGCCACCAUAGGUACUCUUAUAAAUAUUAUUUUAGAGAAAUAGUGCUGUAUAUUUCUCUCUAUCCCGCUUAAGGGGUUUUCGACUCUGUGUUUGAUCAACAGGAAUUAGAGCAAACAAAUCUUUUGAAGACCCAGGUACUGUGGAGAGACUGGGAAGCCAAAGCCAUGGCGGGUGGUUGGGAAGCUAACAAACAGCAUGCUUCCAAUAACUCCAAUAGCAACUGGCAAUGUUGUGAGAACUUGCUUUGUGUCCUCUGAUGGUAUUGGAUAAAAGCAAGAUGCCACAUUCUGGUCAAAUAGGGCGAUUGCAACAAAAAUCACUGCUGAGACAGCUGCAUGGAAAAAGUCUAGAAAUGUCAUCUUAUAUUCAACCGCAGCGUGUGGAUCAAGAGUAACUCCACCAUCAAUGACCCACAAUCCCUUGAACGUGGCAAACCCGUAUUGUACCUUUCCGUUCUCAUCCCUGAAGCUAUCUGUGAAGGUAACAACAAAGCACGAGAGUGCACAGAGCACCACAAGCCCUCCCAUCAUCAUCCGAUCCAAGUCACCACAGUGGCCUUGUUUAGCCAUGGUUGGAGCCAGCAGCUGGAAGGCAAGCACGGUGCCUGAUGGAAGGAGUUUGGCGAGGUGCCCGGUGCUCUGGUAUGCCUGUCUGAUUGCUUUCUGCACGGGGCUCAUGUUGUCAGUGCCAUCAGUUCUGUUGGACAAAAGAGGAUGCCUCUGAUCCUUCUGCAAUUCCAUGUCCGGCUGUGUAGCAGUCAUUGCUGCUGGUGCCCUCUGUGCGAACUAGCGGAACGUCUUGCCUUCUCAGGUCGACGGCUUCGUGUUAUAUAGAUGAGGCGCACCUCCCAUAACAGCGCAUACAUGGGGUUGAGAUUACAUUCUUGGAGAGGAAGAAAGGAGGUAGAGAUAAGAGUUAUAAGAGAUAAACAUUAUACUCUAACUACCUAACCAGAUGCGCCUCAUGAAGAUAUCCGCCAGCCAUGUAGAUAUUGAUGUGUUUAACACCCUCCCUUAAUCACAACUCCAUUAAGUUGAGAUUAUACUUGAAGUUUUCAAAGCUCUUGAACGGCAAUGCUUUUGUGAAUCCAUCUGCAAUUUGAUCACUGGAAUGCACAAAACGAAUGUCAAGUUGUUUGUGAGCCACCCUCUCUCUAACAAAAUGAAAGUCUAUCUCAAUGUGUUUGGCCCUGGCAUGAAACACUGGAUUAGCUGAGAGAUAGGUAGCACCAAGGUUAUCACACCACAAACAUGGAGCUUGUUUACUUUUUAUACCAAGUUCCUUGAGCAUGGAUUGAACC
RNA transcript from Triticum aestivum (bread wheat), 3782 nucleotides. It is a transcript of the gene named pentatricopeptide repeat-containing protein At5g46100, with no coding region annotated. The transcript has 2 exons. The record is from RefSeq and is a predicted model, not a curated record. Lineage: Eukaryota; Viridiplantae; Streptophyta; Magnoliopsida; Poales; Poaceae.